Molecule: long non-coding RNA, 1505 nt
Filed under: Danio rerio (zebrafish)
Lineage: Eukaryota; Metazoa; Chordata; Actinopteri; Cypriniformes; Danionidae
Description: lncRNA linc.3982 (ENSDARG00000096676.4)
Source: RNAcentral
AGUGAUGAAGAUAUGCAGUUCACGAAGUGACCAGAAGGUGUCGGUGUAAACCUGCAGGAGAGCCAGAGACGCUUCAUUCACACACAUGACUGGAGCUUCUCUGCGUUUACUUCCCAUGUGCGUGCAACUGCAACUGACGCUGAGAGAUACACCUGCUUUUUAUUAGAGCCGUAAUCCAACUCCAGUCGCUCUUGAGGAAGCAGAGAAGAGAUAGAGGUGAAGGGGCCUCGUGCCCAGUGAGGAGCCCUGGCAGCGCUGCAGAACGGGAUAUUUAGGCUGUUAGAGCACCAGGAAGCUCUGAGUCCCAUUUUGGGUGGUGGUGAAGAUACAGCAGGUCCACAUCAACAUGAGACACAGGCAGCCUCUGUGACGGCCAGCUGCGCGUCUGGAAUACAAGUCAUCUAAUUACGUGGAAAAGAUGGCCACCGACCGCCAGCAAACAAACAGAGUCCCUCUCACCUGUCGCCUGACCUACUUUACCAUGGAAAACACUGCUGGGCUGCUGUAAAGUCGGGAGAUGACAUUCCCGCUUGUUUUUGGGGCUUGGAGGCCUGGUGUAGCACAGUGGGUGGGUUCAGCUCUCCGGCUCUGAAGUCAUGCGAGGAAGAGGUGGAGGAGACGGGUGGAGAUGCCACGCUUUUAUGACGCCUUGCAUCAUGGUAUACAGCUGGAGUGGAAAGCUGCCAUGACAUCAGCCAGAGGACAGCAGGAUUCUGGGCCUGGGACAGGAAGUGACUCACAGGAAGUGAGCUGAGCAACAUGUGGAUGCGUGGCUGUUUGAUGUGUUUUGAGCUGCUCCACAGACGCUCCGUUUCCAAGUGUGCUGGACGUCAUCGAACGGACGCUUCACAGAAAGGCGUAGUGAGCCUCCUCUCAAAUUAGCGGGCCGCUGUGGGAUAACAAAGGCCUCGGGAUCCGCCGCAGACCCUGUCCGAACUUCAGCGUCCCUCUGGCACGAGUCCAGCAGUCGUAUCCCAGCUGCCCUCAUCAAAGGUACGCGCUGCAUAGUUUCCAAACGCCGACCGCCAGAAAUCUGGAAAUCGGAUUCUGAUGCUGCAUGAAUCUGGUCGGAGGAACUGCAGAUACUUUCGGUGUGGUUUGCACUCAGUGAGACGAAUCAAAUAACUGUUCCCUGCCAGACUGAAUCCCUCCCAGCCGAUGCCUAGACUGGUGCUAGUAAAGCCAUAUGCUUGAAUUUUCCCAAGUUUGAUACAGUAAAACAAACUGUUUUACUUGCCAAGGUGCAUCUUCAGUCAGGUAUUUUAAAGUAUAGCUGAAAACAAAACUUCAGCUCAGACUGCAUUUUUUACAUAAAGAUUUUCAUUUUAGACAUUUUUUAUUAAAUCAUCAUUUUACUUUAUUACAUCAUUUUAUUAUAUGUAAAUCAAUUAAUGAAACAUUGGAAACUACCUUAAUGGGAAAGUUGGCCAUCCAGUGACCUGGUUCUGUCUUGCUGUCCAGUAGAUUUCAAACUCUAUAGCUUAAAUAAAAUAGAUGAGCACUUU